GACGAACGCUGGCGGCGUGCCUAAUACAUGCAAGUCGAACGCAGUGGGGACGGGUGUGUAACAUGUGGGUAACCUCCCCAUCAGGGGGGAUAACAUUGGAAAACAAGUGCUAAACCGAAACUGAUGGAUGUACGUGCGGUGAAUUAGUUAGUUGGUGAGGUAACGCCUAACCAAGGCAACGAUGCAUAGCCGACCUGGUAGGGGGAUCGCCCAAACGGGGACUGAGACCGGGCCCAGAUCCCUCCGGAAGGCAGCAGUAGGGAAUUUUGGGAAAUGGACGAAAGUCUGACCGGGAAACGCCGCGUGAGUGAAGAAGGUUUCCGGAUCGUAAAACUCUGUUGUUAGGGAAGCGGUACCUAACCAGAAAGCCACGGCUAACUACGUGCCAGCAGCCGCGGUAAUUC
Molecule: ribosomal RNA, 404 nt
Filed under: uncultured bacterium
Lineage: Bacteria
Description: partial 16S ribosomal RNA
Rfam family: Bacterial small subunit ribosomal RNA
Source: RNAcentral